Molecule: ribosomal RNA, 301 nt
Filed under: Olea europaea subsp. europaea
Lineage: Eukaryota; Viridiplantae; Streptophyta; Magnoliopsida; Lamiales; Oleaceae
Description: Eukaryotic large subunit ribosomal RNA
Rfam family: Eukaryotic large subunit ribosomal RNA
Source: Rfam by way of RNAcentral
AAAGAUGAAAAGAACUUUGAAAAAAGAGUCAAAGAGUGCUUGAAAUUGGCGGGAAGGAAGUGGAUGGGGGUCGACGAUGCAUCUCGAUCGGAUGUGGAAUGGUGACGAGCCGGUCCGUCGAUCGACUCGGGGCUUGGACCAACAUGAAUCGAGGCAAAGGCCAAAGCAUGACCAGUCGACAUGCCCACAAAUGUCGUCGCCCCGAUUGUCGCGGAAAGCUCGCGCCCUUGGCGUACCUCGACACCUGUGCGCUCCCGGUGAUGGCCUGCGGGCUUCCCAUUCGACCCAUCUUGAAAUACGG